GGGCCCGUAGCUCAAACGGAUAGAGCAUUGGAUUUCUAAUCCAAGGGUUGCAGGUUCGAUUCCUGCCGGGCCUACCA
RNAcentral lists this transfer RNA (77 nucleotides) under Acidobacteriota bacterium. RNAcentral describes it as "Acidobacteria bacterium tRNA-Arg". It matches the Rfam family "tRNA". From Rfam's summary of the family: Transfer RNA (tRNA) molecules are approximately 80 nucleotides in length. Their secondary structure includes four short double-helical elements and three loops (D, anti-codon, and T loops). Further hydrogen bonds mediate the characteristic L-shaped molecular structure. tRNAs have two regions of fundamental functional importance: the anti-codon, which is responsible for specific mRNA codon recognition, and the 3' end, to which the tRNAs corresponding amino acid is attached (by aminoacyl-tRNA synthetases). tRNAs cope with the degeneracy of the genetic code in two manners: having more than one tRNA (with a specific anti-codon) for a particular amino acid; and 'wobble' base-pairing, i.e. permitting non-standard base-pairing at the 3rd anti-codon position. The record is from RNAcentral. RNAcentral also lists the same sequence under 1 other name. Lineage: Bacteria; Pseudomonadati; Acidobacteriota.